CCUACGGGAGGCUGCAGUGGGGAAUAUUGCACAAUGGGGGGAACCCUGAUGCAGCGACGCCGCGUGAGUGAAGAAGUAUUUCGGUAUGUAAAGCUCUAUCAGCAGGGAAGAAAAUGACGGUACCUGACUAAGAAGCCCCGGCUAACUACGUGCCAGCAGCCGCGGUAAUACGUAGGGGGCAAGCGUUAUCCGGAUUUACUGGGUGUAAAGGGAGCGCAGACGGCUGUGCAAGUCUGGAGUGAAAGGCCGGGGCCCAACCCCCGGACUGCUCUGGAUACUGUAAAGCUGGAGUGCAGGAGAGGUAAGCGGAAUUACUAGUGUAGCGGUGAAAUGCGUAGAUAUUAGGAGGAACACCAGUGGCGAAGGCGGCUUACUGGACUGCAACUGACGUUGAGGCUCGAAAGCGUGGGGAGCAAACAGGAUUAGAUACCCGGGUAGUC
This 440-nucleotide ribosomal RNA is filed under the name uncultured bacterium. RNAcentral describes it as "partial 16S ribosomal RNA". It matches the Rfam family "Bacterial small subunit ribosomal RNA", at positions 338 to 795 of the family's 1533-position model. The record is from RNAcentral.